Molecule: ribosomal RNA, 433 nt
Filed under: uncultured bacterium
Lineage: Bacteria
Description: partial 16S ribosomal RNA
Rfam family: Bacterial small subunit ribosomal RNA
Source: RNAcentral
AACGAACGCUGGCGGCAGGCCUAACACAUGCAAGUCGAGCGAGCACUUCGGUCCUAGCGGCGUCUGGCUGAGUCACGCGUGGGAACGUGCCCUUUUCUAUGGAAUAGCUCUGGGACUCUGGGAGUAUUACCGGACGAGCCCUUUGGGGGAAAGAUUUAUCGGGGAAGGUUCGUCCAGAGUUGGAUAAGGUAGUUCGUUGGGUUAUAGCCUACUAGGCCGAGGAUUCAUAGCUGGUUAGAGAGGAUGCUUAGCCACACUAGGACUAAGACGCGGCCCGGACUCCUACGGGAGGCAGCAGUGCGGGAUGGUAGACAAUGGGGGAAGCCCUGAUCGAGCCAUGCCGCGUGAGCGAUGAAGUCCGUAAGGUUGUAAAGCGCUAGCAGCUAGGAAGAUAAUGACGGUACCAGCAGAAGAAGCCCCGGCUAACUCCGUG